GAUGAACGCUGGCGGCGUGCCUAAUACAUGCAAGUCGAGCGAACGGACGAGAAGCUUGCUUCUCUGAUGUUAGCGGCGGACGGGUGAGUAACACGUGGAUAACCUACCUAUAAGACUGGGAUAACUUCGGGAAACCGGAGCUAAUACCGGAUGAUAUUUUGAACCGCAUGGUUCAAAAGUGAAAGACGGUCUUGCUGUCACUUAUAGAUGGAUCCGCGCUGCGUUAGCUAGUUGGUAAGGUAACGGCUUACCAAGGCAACGAUGCAUAGCCGACCUGAGAGGGUGAUCGGCCACACUGGAACUGAGACACGGUCCAGACUCCUACGGGAGGCAGCAGUAGGGAAUCUUCCGCAAAGGGCGAAAGCCUGACGGAGCAACGCCGCGUGAGUGAUGAAGGUCUUCGGAUCGUAAAACUCUGUUAUUAGGGAAGAACAUAUGUGUAAGUAACUGUGCACAUCUUGACGGUACCUAAUCAGAAAGCCACGGCUAACUACGUG
This 497-nucleotide ribosomal RNA is filed under the name uncultured bacterium. RNAcentral's name for it is "partial 16S ribosomal RNA". It matches the Rfam family "Bacterial small subunit ribosomal RNA", at positions 28 to 507 of the family's 1533-position model. The record is from RNAcentral.